ACCAAAAAGCAGGAUACCGUUUACUACCAUACAAAGAUACAUAGUCCAGAUGAUGUUGAGCAAAAAAAAUCACAAUAUAUUACAUGGGAAAGAAACAUGUCAUUCUUGUACAUAGGCGAACCCCUAACAAAGCAAUGUCCUAGACUACUUAGGUAUCAUCUUCACACCUCCAUGAGACUCCAGGUUGUAGCCUUAAAGAUAAGUGUAGACAAACCCUGUCAAACAAAGUAAUGUUUCUCUAUUUCAGAUUGGGAGAAUCAUGAUAGAGAGGCAUGAGACCACAAACAGUAGCAUUGGUAAAUCGGUAGCUGGAUCCAUCCAAAGCACCAAAACACAACCUCUCUACCGCAGUCUUCUACUAAACAUCAUCAACAUGGAUCAUGCCAAACGCUAAAUGUAAAACAAAGCAAUCAAUGCCUUCCAAACAUAACAACAUGAUAUUCUUUACCCAAGAUCAAAAGCAAGAAAGUUGGUUCUUGGGAUUUAUAUCGUAAUGGAACCAAAAAUCCUAAUAAUAUUAGUACUUACUAAGAAUUUCACAACACCUAGAUCAGUUAAGAAAAUUCUAUCUUCCUGGACCACCACAAAGAGGAAGGGACGAACCUGGGAACCUGUAGGUACAACACACUCUAAGCACGGAGGCAUCCAUGCCAAUCCGAAGGAGUACCCACCGCAUGCCCAAACCCCGCCACCGGACAACAGGCAUAGCAGUGUUUCCCAGCAGAUGCAGCAGC
This 734-nucleotide long non-coding RNA is filed under the name Triticum aestivum (bread wheat). RNAcentral's name for it is "long non-coding RNA (TAES_LNC000743)". The record is from RNAcentral. Lineage: Eukaryota; Viridiplantae; Streptophyta; Magnoliopsida; Poales; Poaceae.